Molecule: ribosomal RNA, 253 nt
Filed under: uncultured bacterium
Lineage: Bacteria
Description: partial 16S ribosomal RNA
Rfam family: Bacterial small subunit ribosomal RNA
Source: RNAcentral
GACAGAGGGUGCAAACGUUGUCCGGAAUUACUGGGCGUAAAGAGCUCGUAGGUGGUUUGUCGCGUUGUUCGUGAAAACUCACAGCUCAACUGUGGGCGUGCGGGCGAUACGGGCAGACUGGAGUACUGCAGGGGAGACUGGAAUUCCUGGUGUAGCGGUGGAAUGCGCAGAUAUCAGGAGGAACACCGGUGGCGAAGGCGGGUCUCUGGGCAGUAACUGACGCUGAGGAGCGAAAGCGUGGGGAGCGAACAGG